GGAGAGUUGCCGGAGUGGUUGAACGGGACGGUCUCGAAAACCGUUGUAUCUUUUUACAGGUACCCAGGGUUCGAAUCCCUGACUCUCCGCCA
Molecule: transfer RNA, 92 nt
Filed under: Cloacimonas acidaminivorans (SeqCode)
Lineage: Bacteria; Pseudomonadati; Candidatus Cloacimonadota; Cloacimonadia (SeqCode); Cloacimonadales (SeqCode); Cloacimonadaceae (SeqCode)
Also listed under: 2 other names
Description: Candidatus Cloacimonas acidaminovorans tRNA-Ser
Rfam family: tRNA
About the family: Transfer RNA (tRNA) molecules are approximately 80 nucleotides in length. Their secondary structure includes four short double-helical elements and three loops (D, anti-codon, and T loops).
Source: RNAcentral